UUUAAAGAAAGCGUAACAGCUCACUGGUCAAGCGUUCCUGCGCGGAAAAUGUAACGGGGCUUAAGUGAUACACCGAAGCUGCGGACUCAGAAAUGAGUGGUAGCGGAGCGUUCUGUAAGUCUGUGAAGGUGGCCUGCGAGGGCUGCUGGAGAUAUCAGAAGUGAGAAUGCUGACAUGAGUAGCGAUAAAGAGGGUGAGAGGCCCUCUCGCCGAAAGUCCAAGGGUUCCUGCGCAAUGCUAAUCAGCGCAGGGUAAGCCGGCCCCUAAGGCGAGGCCGACAGGCGUAGUCGAUGGAUAACGGGUU
Molecule: ribosomal RNA, 304 nt
Filed under: Proteomonas sulcata
Lineage: Eukaryota; Cryptophyceae; Pyrenomonadales; Geminigeraceae
Description: partial Bacterial large subunit ribosomal RNA
Rfam family: Bacterial large subunit ribosomal RNA
Source: RNAcentral